GGCUUCGGCGACACACUUUGCCAACAAUACAAUUGGACCCACAUGGUCAAUGAAAAAGGUUGAAGAGUGCAUACAGCAAUGAGAUCUAGUGUUAGGAGCUGGAGUUGAACCAGCGCCCUUUGGACCACAGCAUUUCAGAAACUUCUUACAGUCCUCUGCUCUACCAACUGAGCUAUGAAGGUGCUUAUAUAUACAAACGCAGAAAACAUAGUGGCUUCGGCGACACACUUUGCCAACAUAACAAUCAAGCUACCUUGUCAAUGAAAAAGGUUGAACAGUGCAUAAAGCAAUGAAAUCUGGUGUUUGGAGCUGGAGUUGAACCAGCGACCUUUGGACCACAGUGUUUCAGGAACUUCUUACAGUCAUCUGCUCUCCCAACUGCGCUAUGAAGGUGCUUAUAGACACAAACGCAGAAAACAUAGUGGCUUCGGCGACACACUUUGCCAACAAUACAAUUGGACCCACAUGGUUAAUGAAAAACGUUGAACAGUGCAUACAGCAAUGAAAUGUGGUGUUUGGAGCUGGAGUUGAACCAGCGACCUUUGGACCACAGCGUUUCAGGAACUUCAUUUCAGUCCUCUGCUCUACCAACUGAGCUAUGAAUGUGCUUAUAUAUACAAACGCAGAAAACAUAGUGGCUUCGGCGACACACUUUGCCAACAAUACAAUUGGACCCACAUGGUCAAUGAAAAAGGUUGAACAGUGCAUACACCAAUGAAAACUGGUGCUUUGAGCGGGAGUUGAAGCAGCGACCUUUGGACCACAGAGUUUCAUACUAGGAACUUCUUACAGUCCUCUGCUCUACCAACUGAGCUAUGAAGGUGCUUAUAGACACAAACGCAGAAAACAUAGUGGCUUCGGCGACACACUUUGCCAACAAUACAAUUGGACCCACAUGGUCAAUGAAAAAGGUUGAACAGUGCAUACAGCAAUGAAAUGUGGUGUUUGGAGCUGGAGUUGAACCAGCGACCUUUGGACCACAGCGUUUCAGGAACUUCUUACAGUCCUCUGCUCUACCAACUGAGCUAUGAAGGUGCUUAUAGACACAAACGCAGAAAACAUAGUGGCUUCGGCGACACACUUUGCCAACAUAACAAUCAAGCUACCUUGUUAAUGAAAAAGGUUUAACAGUGCAUACAGCAAUGAAAUCUGGUGUUUGGAAGUGGAGUUGAACCAGCGACCUUUUGACCACAGCGUUUCAGGAACUUCUUACAGUCCUCUGCUCUAACAACUGAGCUAUGAAGGUGCUUAUAAACACAAACGCAGAAAACAUAGUGGAUUCGGCGACACACUUUGCCAACAAUACAAUUGGACCCACAUGGUCAAUGAAAAAGGUUGAAGAGUGCAUACAGCAAUGAAAUGUGGUGUUUGGAGCAGGAGUUGAACAAGCGACCUUUGGACCACAGCGUUUCAGGAACUUCUUACAGUCCUGUGCUCUACCAACUGAGCUAUGAAGGUGCUUAUAGACACAAACGCAGAAAACAUAGUGGCUUCGGCGACACACUUUGCCAACAAUACAAUUGGACCCACAUGGUCAAUGAAAAAGGUUGAACAGUGCAUACAGCAAUGAGAUCUAGUGUUAGGAGCUGGAGUUGAACCAGCGCCCUUUGGACCACAGCAUUUCAGGAACUUCUUACAGUCCUCUGCUCUACCAACUGAGCUAUGAAGGUGCUUAUAGACACAAACGCAGAAAACAUAGUGGCUUCGGCGACACACUUUGCCAACAUAACAAUCAAGCUACCUUGUCAAUGAAAAAGGUUGAACAGUGCAUAAAGCAAUGAAAUCUGGUGUUUGGAGCUGGAGUUGAACCAGCGACCUUUGGACCACAGCGUUUCAGGAACUUCUUACAGUCCUCUGCUCUACCAAGUGAGCUAUGAAGGUGCUUAUAUAUACAAACGCAGAAAACAUAGUGGCUUCGGCGACACACUUUGCCAACAAUACAAUUGGACCCACAUGGUCAAUGAAAAAGGUUGAACAGUGCAUACACCAAUGAAAACUGGUUCUUUGAGCGGGAGUUGAAGCAGCGACCUUUGGACCACAGAGUUUCAUACUAGGAACUUCUUACAGUCCUCUGCUCUACCAACUGAGCUAUGAAGGUGCUUAUAGACACAAACGCAGAAAACAUAGUGGCUUCGGCGACACACUUUGCCAACAAUACAAUUGGACCCACAUGGUCAAUGAAAAAGGUUGAACAGUGCAUACAGCAAUGAAAUGUGGUGUUUGGAGCUGGAGUUGAACCAGCGACCUUUGGACCACAGCGUUUCAGGAACUUCUUACAGUCCUCUGCUCUACCAACUGAGCUAUGAAGGUGCUUAUAGACACAAACGCAGAAAACAUAGUGGCUUCGGCGACACACUUUGCCAACAUAACAAUCAAGCUACCUUGUCAAUGAAAAAGGUUGAACAGUGCAUACACCAAUGAAAUCUGGUGUUUGGAGCUGGAGUUGAACCAGCGACCUUUGGACAACAUUGUUGAGGAACUUCUUACAGUCCUCUGCUCUAACAACUGAGCUAUGAAGGUGCUUAUAAACACAAACGCAGAAAACAUAGUGGCUUCGGCGACACACUUUGCCAACAAUACAAUUGGACCCACAUGGUCAAUGAAAAAGGUUCAAGAGUGCUUACAGCAAUGAAAUGUGGUGUUUGGAGCUGGAGUUGAACCAGCGACCUUUGGACCACAGCGUUUCAGGAACGUCUGACAGUCCUCUGCUCUACCAAUUGAGCUAUGAAGGUGCUUAUACACACAAACGCAGAAAACAUAGUGGCUUCGGUGACACACUUUGCCAACAAUACAAUUGGACCCACAUGGUCAGUGAAAAAGGUUGAAGAGUGCAUACAGCAAUGAAAUGUGGUGUUUGGAGCUGGAGUUGAACCAGCGACCUUUGGACUACAGCGUUUCAGGAACUUCUUACAGUCCUCUGCUCUACCAACUGAGCUAUGAAGGUGCUUAUAUAUACAAACGCAGAAAACAUAGUGGCUUCGGCGACACACUUUGCCAACAAUACAAUUGGACCCACAUGGUCAAUGAAAAAGGUUGAACAGUGCAUACAGCAAUGAAAUGUGGUGUUUGGAGCUGGAGUUGAAACAGCGACCUUUGGACCUCAGGGUUUCAGGAACUUCUUAAAGUCCUCUGUUCUAGCAACUGAGCUAUGAAGGUGCUUAUAGACACAAACGCAGAAAACAUAGUGGCUUCGGCGACACACUUUGCCAACAUAACAAUCAAGCUACCUUGUCAAUGAAAAAGGUUGAACAGUGCAUACAGCAAUGAAAUCUGGUGUUUGGAAGUGGAGUUGAACCAGCGACCUUUUGACCACAGCGUUUCAGGAACUUCUUACAGUCAUCUGCUCUACCAACUGAGCUAUGAAGGUGCUUAUAUAUACAAAUGCAGAAAACAUAGUGGCUUCGGCGACACACUUUGCCAACAAUACAAUUGGACCCACAUGGUCAAUGAAAAAGGUUGAAGAGUGCAUACAGCAAUGAGAUCUAGUGUUAGGAGCUGGAGUUGAACCAGCGCCCUUUGGACCACAGCAUUUCAGAAACUUCUUACAGUCCUCUGCUCUACCAACUGAGCUAUGAAGGUGCUUAUAUAUACAAACGCAGAAAACAUAGUGGCUUCGGCGACACACUUUGCCAACAUAACAAUCAAGCUACCUUGUCAAUGAAAAAGGUUGAACAGUGCAUAAAGCAAUGAAAUCUGGUGUUUGGAGCUGGAGUUGAACCAGCGACCUUUGGACCACAGCGUUUCAGGAACUUCUUACAGUCAUCUGCUCUCCCAACUGCGCUAUGAAGGUGCUUAUAGACACAAACGCAGAAAACAUAGUGGCUUCGGCGACACACUUUGCCAACAAUACAAUUGGACCCACAUGGUUAAUGAAAAACGUUGAACAGUGCAUACAGCAAUGAAAUGUGGUGUUUGGAGCUGGAGUUGAACCAGCGACCUUUGGACCACAGCGUUUCAGGAACUUCUUACAGUCCUCUGCUCUACCAACUGAGCUAUGAAUGUGCUUAUAUAUACAAACGCAGAAAACAUAGUGGCUUCGGCGACACACUUUGCCAACAAUACAAUUGGACCCACAUGGUCAAUGAAAAAGGUUGAACAGUGCAUACACCAAUGAAAACUGGUGCUUUGAGCGGGAGUUGAAGCAGCGACCUUUGGACCACAGAGUUUCAUACUAGGAACUUCUUACAGUCCUCUGCUCUACCAACUGAGCUAUGAAGGUGCUUAUAGACACAAACGCAGAAAACAUAGUGGCUUCGGCGACACACUUUGCCAACAAUACAAUUGGACCCACAUGGUCAAUGAAAAAGGUUGAACAGUGCAUACAGCAAUGAAAUGUGGUGUUUGGAGCUGGAGUUGAACCAGCGACCUUUGGACCACAGCGUUUCAGGAACUUCUUACAGUCCUCUGCUCUACCAACUGAGCUAUGAAGGUGCUUAUAGACACAAACGCAGAAAACAUAGUGGCUUCGGCGACACACUUUGCCAACAUAACAAUCAAGCUACCUUGUCAAUGAAAAAGGUUGAACAGUGCAUACAGCAAUGAAAUCUGGUGUUUGGAGCUGGAGUUGAACCAGCGACCUUUGGACAACAUUGUUGAGGAACUUCUUACAGUCCUCUGCUCUAACAACUGAGCUAUGAAGGUGCUUAUAAACACAAACGCAGAAAACAUAGUGGAUUCGGCGACACACUUUGCCAACAAUACAAUUGGACCCACAUGGUCAAUGAAAAAGGUUGAACAGUGCAUACAGCAAUGAGAUCUAGUGUUAGGAGCUGGAGUUGAACCAGCGACCUUUGGACCACAGCGUUUCAGGAACUUCUUACAGUCCUCUGCUCUACCAACUGAGCUAUGAAGGUGCUUAUAGACACAAACGCAGAAAACAUAGUGGCUUCGGCGACACACUUUGCCAACAUAACAAUCAAGCUACCUUGUCAAUGAAAAAGGUUGAACAGUGCAUACACCAAUGAAAUCUGGUGUUUGGAGCUGGAGUUGAACCAGCGACCUUUGGACAACAUUGUUGAGGAACUUCUUACAGUCCUCUGCUCUAACAACUGAGCUAUGAAGGUGCUUAUAAACACAAACGCAGAAAACAUAGUGGCUUCGGCGACACACUUUGCCAACAAUACAAUUGGACCCACAUGGUCAAUGAAAAAGGUUCAAGAGUGCUUACAGCAAUGAAAUGUGGUGUUUGGAGCUGGAGUUGAACCAGCGACCUUUGGACCACAGCGUUUCAGGAACGUCUGACAGUCCUCUGCUCUACCAAUUGAGCUAUGAAGGUGCUUAUACACACAAACGCAGAAAACAUAGUGGCUUCGGUGACACACUUUGCCAACAAUACAAUUGGACCCACAUGGUCAGUGAAAAAGGUUGAAGAGUGCAUACAGCAAUGAAAUGUGGUGUUUGGAGCUGGAGUUGAACCAGCGACCUUUGGACUACAGCGUUUCAGGAACUUCUUACAGUCCUCUGCUCUACCAACUGAGCUAUGAAGGUGCUUAUAUAUACAAACGCAGAAAACAUAGUGGCUUCGGCGACACACUUUGCCAACAAUACAAUUGGACCCACAUGGUCAAUGAAAAAGGUUGAACAGUGCAUACAGCAAUGAAAUGUGGUGUUUGGAGCUGGAGUUGAAACAGCGACCUUUGGACCUCAGGGUUUCAGGAACUUCUUAAAGUCCUCUGUUCUAGCAACUGAGCUAUGAAGGUGCUUAUAGACACAAACGCAGAAAACAUAGUGGCUUCGGCGACACACUUUGCCAACAUAACAAUCAAGCUACCUUGUCAAUGAAAAAGGUUGAACAGUGCAUACAGCAAUGAAAUCUGGUGUUUGGAAGUGGAGUUGAACCAGCGACCUUUUGACCACAGCGUUUCAGGAACUUCUUACAGUCAUCUGCUCUACCAACUGAGCUAUGAAGGUGCUUAUAUAUACAAAUGCAGAAAACAUAGUGGCUUCGGCGACACACUUUGCCAACAAUACAAUUGGACCCACAUGGUCAAUGAAAAAGGUUGAAGAGUGCAUACAGCAAUGAGAUCUAGUGUUAGGAGCUGGAGUUGAACCAGCGCCCUUUGGACCACAGCAUUUCAGAAACUUCUUACAGUCCUCUGCUCUACCAACUGAGCUAUGAAGGUGCUUAUAUAUACAAACGCAGAAAACAUAGUGGCUUCGGCGACACACUUUGCCAACAUAACAAUCAAGCUACCUUGUCAAUGAAAAAGGUUGAACAGUGCAUAAAGCAAUGAAAUCUGGUGUUUGGAGCUGGAGUUGAACCAGCGACCUUUGGACCACAGCGUUUCAGGAACUUCUUACAGUCAUCUGCUCUCCCAACUGCGCUAUGAAGGUGCUUAUAGACACAAACGCAGAAAACAUAGUGGCUUCGGCGACACACUUUGCCAACAAUACAAUUGGACCCACAUGGUUAAUGAAAAACGUUGAACAGUGCAUACAGCAAUGAAAUGUGGUGUUUGGAGCUGGAGUUGAACCAGCGACCUUUGGACCACAGCGUUUCAGGAACUUCUUACAGUCCUCUGCUCUACCAACUGAGCUAUGAAUGUGCUUAUAUAUACAAACGCAGAAAACAUAGUGGCUUCGGCGACACACUUUGCCAACAAUACAAUUGGACCCACAUGGUCAAUGAAAAAGGUUGAACAGUGCAUACACCAAUGAAAACUGGUGCUUUGAGCGGGAGUUGAAGCAGCGACCUUUGGACCACAGAGUUUCAUACUAGGAACUUCUUACAGUCCUCUGCUCUACCAACUGAGCUAUGAAGGUGCUUAUAGACACAAACGCAGAAAACAUAGUGGCUUCGGCGACACACUUUGCCAACAAUACAAUUGGACCCACAUGGUCAAUGAAAAAGGUUGAACAGUGCAUACAGCAAUGAAAUGUGGUGUUUGGAGCUGGAGUUGAACCAGCGACCUUUGGACCACAGCGUUUCAGGAACUUCUUUACAGUCCUCUGCUCUACC
Xyrichtys novacula (pearly razorfish) is the source of this 6958-nucleotide non-coding RNA. The record is from the annotation of a GenBank genome assembly. Lineage: Eukaryota; Metazoa; Chordata; Actinopteri; Labriformes; Labridae.